UUAGCAGCCCAGGACAUGGAAGUGUUUUAUCCACAGAACAGAUAUAACGCAGACAGCUUCUUCAUGCUGCCCUCUGAAUGUACCUUAGACCUGACCUGGAAGGGCCACUGCAUAAGGGGAGGAAAUAGUUUAGUCUCCAUGACCACUGAAUCCUUGGCCUCC
Chrysemys picta bellii (western painted turtle) is the source of this 162-nucleotide unclassified non-coding RNA. The record is from Ensembl. Lineage: Eukaryota; Metazoa; Chordata; Testudines; Emydidae.